GCUCGCUUAGCUCAGUGGUAGAGCAUUGUACUUAUGAGGUUGAGAUAAUUCCUGCGCAUAUUAUGCAAGGGUCGGCAGUUCGACCCUGCCAGUGAGCA
Molecule: non-coding RNA, 98 nt
Organism: Lentinula edodes (shiitake mushroom)
Lineage: Eukaryota; Fungi; Basidiomycota; Agaricomycetes; Agaricales; Omphalotaceae
Source: Rfam